Molecule: non-coding RNA, 1363 nt
Organism: Pimephales promelas (fathead minnow)
Lineage: Eukaryota; Metazoa; Chordata; Actinopteri; Cypriniformes; Leuciscidae
Source: RefSeq, a predicted model, not a curated record
CGUCUCUAAAGUGUCAGUUCCGAGUUCGCGGAGUGAAGUGCUUCUGGGAGUCCUUAAUAACGGCAGAAAAAAAGCUGUAAAAACAAGAAGACAGGAAAAAAUGGAGGAGACACAAUCCAGUGAAUCACGAGAGGAAAGAGGACAAAUGCUUGUCAGAUGCGAGAGUAUGGAGAGAAUAAAGCCAAGCUUCUCCUGUGAUCCAGACGGGCCUGUAAAGAGUGAUUCAGUCAAAACUGAGGAGAGAUUCUCAUCAAACCCUUCAUCAUCAUCAUCAUCUUCAUCACCAUUGUAACGACUGAGACCAUCAGACACUAAAGCCCACUGUAAAGAGAGCAGAAAAGGCCUCAAUCGUCCGGCGCCCGUCAGAUAAGAUGGUUUUAUUGGAGAAUGUGGUCAUGUGAUCAGACCGAGGCCAUGGGAAAGACAGAAACACAUCUUAAAACAGACUUUCCUGCAGUAAUGUAGAAGAACUGAUCUAUAAAUGAACUGAAAGCUUCACCUUCAAACAGAAUUACUGACUAAUUCUACAAUAUGUGUUUAAUACAUGGUUAAAACUGACAGCUAGUCUAUUGAUGUUCAUAUGUGAUAUUUUAAGAUUGCAUGACAUUAUCUGAAACCUUGAGUUUUGGUGAAUUAAAGGAACAUGCCGAUUUCAGCUGAUUCAGUGUAUCCCCAGAGGAAGGCAUUUGUAAAAGCCUGACACAGGAGAUCUUUGUGAAGUACAGCAGCUUCUGAAACUCUGAGUUAUUUUUCUGAACAUGUCAACAAGAGAAACUUCCUUAUUAUCAGUUUCUGAAUCCGUUACUCACACAAAGUCACAUCAAGCCUGUGUCUGAUGACUCAACCGUUGAAUGCUGGAAUAAUGUGAAUAGGAUAACACAAACUUGACAUCAUAUUUUGCUCUGCUCAUUUAAUAAAGACUGUGAAAAUUCUUGUGUACGUUUCAUGCAUCUUUAUUUAGGAUUUAUGUAUAUUACAUAUUUUGUAUAUAUUUUUGUAUCUACAUUUUGUACGACAAAGCUAGACAGAAAUCUGCCGUUGUAUUUUGAAUUGUUCGGUAUAUUUCAUCUGGACAGUUUACAUAUUUAGUUAUGCAAAACUCAAAUAUUUAGUUAUAUUUUCAUAUUUAGAAAUUGAUUUAAUUAGAAAAAGCAUUUAAUUUCCAUCACACUUUCAGUUAAUAACAAAAUAUGAAACAUUAUUUAUGACCCACAAAAGCAGCACACUUGAAACUGUCUCGCUUUAGGCCUCUAAAUGUAAAGUUACAAUUAAAUGUAUUUCAAACUAAAUUAAAGAUCAUCUGUGAAUAUAAAUGUAUGCAAUCUUUGAUAUAUUUAUGUGAAUAAACACCAUUCUGCCGUUA